Molecule: ribosomal RNA, 395 nt
Filed under: uncultured bacterium
Lineage: Bacteria
Description: partial 16S ribosomal RNA
Rfam family: Bacterial small subunit ribosomal RNA
Source: RNAcentral
GAUAUUUCACAAUGGGGGAAACCCUGAUGCAGCGACUCCGCGUGAGCGAAGAAGGCCNNNGGGUCNUAAAGCUCGGUUCCGAGNGACNGUAAUGACGGUACCUCGGGAGUAAGCCCCGGCUCACUACGUGCCAGCAGCCGCGGUAAUACGUAGGGGGCAAGCGUUAUCCGGAAUAACUGGGCGUAAAGGGUGCCUAGGCGGCCAAUAAAGUCAGAGGUGAAAGGCUACGGCUCAACCGUAGUAAGCCUUUGAAACGUAUUGGCUUGAGUGCAGGAGAGGAGAGUGGAAUUCCUAGUGUAGCGGUGAAAUGCGUAGAUAUUAGGAGGAACACCAGUGGCGAAGGCGACUCUCUGGACUGUAACUGACGCUGAGGCACGAAAGCGUGGGGAGCGAAC